UACGGAGGGUCCAAGCGUUAUCCGGAAUCAUUGGGUUUAAAGGGUCCGUAGGCGGUUUUGUAAGUCAGGGGUGAAAGCCCAUCGCUCAACGGUGGAACGGCCAUUGAUACUGCAAGACUUGAAUUAUUAGGAAGUAACUAGAAUAUGUAGUGUAGCGGUGAAAUGCUUAGAGAUUACAUGGAAUACCAAUUGCGAAGGCAGGUUACUACUAAUGGAUUGACGCUGAUGGACGAAAGCGUGGGUAGCGAACAGG
RNAcentral lists this ribosomal RNA (253 nucleotides) under uncultured bacterium. Its description in RNAcentral is "partial 16S ribosomal RNA". It matches the Rfam family "Bacterial small subunit ribosomal RNA", at positions 524 to 776 of the family's 1533-position model. The record is from RNAcentral.